ACAUGCAAGUCGAGCGGUAACAGAAAUUAGCUUGCUAAUUUGCUGACGAGCGGCGGACGGGUGAGUAAUGCCUGGGAAUAUGCCUUGAUGUGGGGGAUAACUAUUGGAAACGAUAGCUAAUACCGCAUAAUGUCUUCGGACCAAAGAGGGGGAUCUUCGGGCCUCUCGCGCUAAGAUUAGCCCAGGUGAGAUUAGCUAGUUGGUGAGGUAAGAGCUCACCAAGGCGACGAUCUCUAGCUGGUCUGAGAGGAUGACCAGCCACACUGGGACUGAGACACGGUCCAGACUCCUACGGGAGGCAGCAGUGGGGAAUAUUGCACAAUGGGCGAAAGCCUGAUGCAGCCAUGCCGCGUGUAUGAAGAAGGCCUUCGGGUUGUAAAGUACUUUCAGUUGUGAGGAAGGGUGUGUAGUUAAUAGCUGCGCAUCUUGACGUUAGCAACAGAAGAAGCACCGGCUAACUCCGUGCCAGCAGCCGCGGUAAUACGGAGGGUGCGAGCGUUAAUCGAAAUUACUGGGCGUAAAGCGCAUGCAGGUGGUUCAUUAAGUCAGAUGUGAAAGCCCGGGGCUCAACCUCGGAACUGCAUUUGAACUGGUGAACUAGAGUGCUGUAGAGGGGGGUAGAAUUUCAGGUGUAGCGGUGAAAUGCGUAGAGAUCUGAAGGAAUACCAGUGGCGAAGGCGGCCCCCUGGACAGACACUGACACUCAGAUGCGAAAGCGUGGGGAGCAAACAGGAUUAGAUACCCUGGUAGUCCACGCCGUAAACGAUGUCUACUUGAAGGUUGUGGCCUUGAGCCGUGGCUUUCGGAGCUAACGCGUUAAGUAGACCGCCUGGGGAGUA
This 839-nucleotide ribosomal RNA is filed under the name uncultured Vibrio sp. Its description in RNAcentral is "bacterial SSU rRNA". It matches the Rfam family "Bacterial small subunit ribosomal RNA", at positions 53 to 882 of the family's 1533-position model. The record is from RNAcentral. Lineage: Bacteria; Pseudomonadati; Pseudomonadota; Gammaproteobacteria; Vibrionales; Vibrionaceae.